UCCUAAGGUAGCGAAAUUCCUUGUCGGUUAAAUACCGACCUGCAUGAAUGGCGUAACGAGAUGGGAGCUGUCUCAACCAGAGAUUCAGUGAAAUUGUAGUGGAGGUGAAAAUUCCUCCUACCCGCGGCAAGACGGAAAGACCCCGUGGACCUUUACUACAACUUAGCACUGCUAAUGGGAAUAUCAUGCGA
RNAcentral lists this ribosomal RNA (191 nucleotides) under uncultured Helicobacter sp. RNAcentral's name for it is "partial 23S ribosomal RNA". It matches the Rfam family "Bacterial large subunit ribosomal RNA", at positions 1949 to 2139 of the family's 2925-position model. Lineage: Bacteria; Pseudomonadati; Campylobacterota; Epsilonproteobacteria; Campylobacterales; Helicobacteraceae. The record is from RNAcentral.